Molecule: ribosomal RNA, 788 nt
Filed under: uncultured archaeon
Lineage: Archaea
Description: bacterial SSU rRNA
Rfam family: Archaeal small subunit ribosomal RNA
Source: RNAcentral
ACGGCUCAGUAACACGUGGAUAACUGCCCUGCGGUGGGAAAUAACCCCGGGAAACUGGGGAUAAUGUCCCAUAGACUACGGAUACUGGAAUGUUCUGUAGUUCAAAGAUUUAUCGCCACAGGAUGGGUCUGCGGCCGAUUAGGUAGUUGUUGGGGUAACGGCCCAACAAGCCUUUGAUCGGUACGGGUUGUGGGAGCAAGAGCCCGGAGAUGGAUUCUGAGACACGAAUCCAGGCCCUACGGGGCGCAGCAGGCGCGAAAACUUUACAAUGCGGGAAACCGUGAUAAGGGAACUCCGAGUGUCCGUAAAUGCGGACUGUCCGUAUGUUUAAAAAGCAUGCGAAGAAAGGGCCGGGCAAGACCGGUGCCAGCCGCCGCGGUAAUACCGGCGGCUCGAGUGGUGGCCACUAUUACUGGGCUUAAAGCGUUCGUAGCUGGGUUGUUAAGUUUCUUGGGAAAUCUACCGGCUUAACCGAUAGGCGUCCAAGGGAUACUGGCAAUCUAGGGACCGGGAGAGGUGAGGGGUACUUCAGGGGUAGGAGUGAAAUCCUGUAAUCCUUGGGGGACCACCUGUGGCGAAGGCGCCUCACCAGAACGGCUCCGACAGUGAGGGACGAAAGCUGGGGGAGCAAACCGGAUUAGAUACCCGGGUAGUCCCAGCCGUAAACGAUGUGCGUUAGGUGUAUCGAUGACCACGAGUCAUCGAGGUGCCGAAGGGAAACCGUGAAACGCGCCGCCUGGGAAGUACGGUCGCAAGGCUGAAACUUAAAGGAAUUGGCGGGGGAGCAC